CAAUGGGGGAACCCUGAUGCAGCGACGCCGCGUGAGCGAAGAAGUAUUUCGGUAUGUAAAGCUCUAUCAGCAGGGNAAGAUAAUGACGGUACCUGACUAAGAAGCCCCGGCUAACUACGUGCCAGCAGCCGCGGUAAUACGUAGGGGGCAAGCGUUAUCCGGAUUUACUGGGUGUAAAGGGAGCGUAGACGGUUAAGCAAGUCUGAAGUGAAAGCCCGGGGCUCAACCCCGGUACUGCUUUGGAAACUGUUUGACUUGAGUGCAGGAGAGGUAAGUGGAAUUCCUAGUGUAGCGGUGAAAUGCGUAGAUAUUAGGAGGAACACCAGUGGCGAAGGCGGCUUACUGGACUGUAACUGACGUUGAGGCUCGAAAGCGUGGGGAGCAAACAGGAUUAGAUACCCUGGUAGUCCAAGGGCGAAUUC
This 422-nucleotide ribosomal RNA is filed under the name uncultured bacterium. RNAcentral's name for it is "SSU rRNA". It matches the Rfam family "Bacterial small subunit ribosomal RNA", at positions 369 to 808 of the family's 1533-position model. The record is from RNAcentral.